Dermacentor silvarum is the source of this 185-nucleotide small nuclear RNA. RefSeq annotates it as U2 spliceosomal RNA. Lineage: Eukaryota; Metazoa; Arthropoda; Arachnida; Ixodida; Ixodidae. The record is from RefSeq and is a predicted model, not a curated record. The transcript has a single exon.
AGACAUGGCCGACGCGGCUUAAACUGUAGUAUCUGUUCUUAUGAGCUUAAUAUCUGAUACGUGUUGUAUUUGGACCUAAGAUAUUAAACUUAUUUUUGCAAGUUGGCGGAGUACUUGACGCCUGCUUCAUCUCCACCGCCGGUCGACCCGGUAUUUUGGUCUACGCGGACAUCGAUCCGCUGGAA